AGCGAACGCUGGCGGCAGGCUUAACACAUGCAAGUCGAACGGGCACCUUCGGGUGUCAGUGGCAGACGGGUGAGUAACACGUGGGAACGUACCCUUUGGUUCGGAACAACUCUGGGAAACUGGAGCUAAUACCGGAUACGCCCUGAUGGGGAAAGGUUUACUGCCGAAGGAUCGGCCCGCGUCUGAUUAGCUAGUUGGUGGGGUAACGGCCCACCAAGGCGACGAUCAGUAGCUGGUCUGAGAGGAUGAUCAGCCACACUGGGACUGAGACACGGCCCAGACUCCUACGGGAGGCAGCAGUGGGGAAUAUUGGACAAUGGGCGCAAGCCUGAUCCAGCCAUGCCGCGUGAGUGAUGAAGGCCUUAGGGUUGUAAAGCUCUUUUGUCCGGGACGAUAAUGACGGUACGGAAGAAUAAGCCCGCUAACUUCGUGCCAGCAGCCGCCGU
This 446-nucleotide ribosomal RNA is filed under the name uncultured bacterium. Its description in RNAcentral is "bacterial SSU rRNA". It matches the Rfam family "Bacterial small subunit ribosomal RNA", at positions 29 to 521 of the family's 1533-position model. The record is from RNAcentral.